UGGGGAAUUUUGGACAAUGGGCGCAAGCCUGAUCCAGCAAUGCCGCGUGCAGGAUGAGGGCCUUCGGGUUGUAAACUGCUUUUGUACGGAACGAAAAAGCUCUCUCUAAUACAGGGGGUGAAUGACGGUACCGUAAGAAUAAGCACCGGCUAACUACGUGCCAGCAGCCGCGGUAAUACGUAGGGUGCAAGCGUUAAUCGGAAUUACUGGGCGUAAAGCGUGCGCAGGCGGUUUUGUAAGACAGAGGUGAAAUCCCCGGGCUCAACCUGGGAACUGCCUUUGUGACUGCAAAGCUGGAGUGCGGCAGAGGGGGAUGGAAUUCCGCGUGUAGCAGUGAAAUGCGUAGAUAUGCGGAGGAACACCGAUGGCGAAGGCAAUCCCCUGGGCCUGCACUGACGCUCAUGCACGAAAGCGUGGGGAGCAAACA
Molecule: ribosomal RNA, 427 nt
Filed under: uncultured bacterium
Lineage: Bacteria
Description: bacterial SSU rRNA
Rfam family: Bacterial small subunit ribosomal RNA
Source: RNAcentral